RNAcentral lists this ribosomal RNA (301 nucleotides) under uncultured bacterium. RNAcentral's name for it is "partial 16S ribosomal RNA". It matches the Rfam family "Bacterial small subunit ribosomal RNA", at positions 509 to 807 of the family's 1533-position model. The record is from RNAcentral.
CAGCCGCCACGGGAAUACGUAGGUGGCAAGCGUUGUCCGGAAUUAUUGGGCGUAAAGGGCUCGCAGGCGGUUUCUUAAGUCUGAUGUGAAAGCCCCCGGCUCAACCGGGGAGGGUCAUUGGAAACUGGGAAACUUGAGUGCAGAAGAGGAGAGUGGAAUUCCACGUGUGGCGGUGAAAUGCGUAGAGAUGUGGAGGAACACCAGUGGCGAAGGCGACUCUCUGGUCUGUAACUGACGCUGAGGAGCGAAAGCGUGGGGAGCGAACAGGAUUAGAUACCCGUGUAGUCCCUGUCUCUUAUAC